This 397-nucleotide ribosomal RNA is filed under the name uncultured bacterium. RNAcentral's name for it is "partial 16S ribosomal RNA". It matches the Rfam family "Bacterial small subunit ribosomal RNA", at positions 523 to 918 of the family's 1533-position model. The record is from RNAcentral.
AUACGUAGGUGACAAGCGUUAUCCGGAUUUACUGGGCGUAAAGGGUGCGUAGGUGGCACUUUAAGUUGGAUGUGAAAUCCCCGUGCUUAACAUGGGAGCUGCAUCCAAUACUGGAGAGCUAGAGUGCAGGAGAGGUAAGCGGAAUUCCUAGUGUAGCGGUGAAAUGCGUAGAUAUUAGGAGGAACACCAGUGGCGAAGGCGGCUUACUGGACUGUAACUGACACUGAGGCACGAAAGCGUGGGGAGCAAACAGGAUUAGAUACCCUGGUAGUCCACGCUGUGAACGAUGAAUACUAGGUGUAGGGGGUAUCAACUCCCUCUGUGCCGCAGCAAACGCAAUAAGUAUUCCGCCUGGGGAGUACGGCCGCAAGGUUGAAACUCAAAUGAAUUGACGGGG